This 606-nucleotide ribosomal RNA is filed under the name Nocardia otitidiscaviarum. RNAcentral describes it as "bacterial SSU rRNA". It matches the Rfam family "Bacterial small subunit ribosomal RNA", at positions 46 to 669 of the family's 1533-position model. The record is from RNAcentral. Lineage: Bacteria; Bacillati; Actinomycetota; Actinomycetes; Mycobacteriales; Nocardiaceae.
GCUUAACACAUGCAAGUCGAGCGGUAAGGCCCUUCGGGGUACACGAGCGGCGAACGGGUGAGUAACACGUGGGUGAUCUGCCUCGCACUCUGGGAUAAGCCUGGGAAACUGGGUCUAAUACCGGAUAUGACCGCGAAUCGCAUGGUUUGUGGUGGAAAGGUUUACUGGUGCGAGAUGGGCCCGCGGCCUAUCAGCUUGUUGGUGGGGUAACGGCCUACCAAGGCGACGACGGGUAGCCGGCCUGAGAGGGCGACCGGCCACACUGGGACUGAGACACGGCCCAGACUCCUACGGGAGGCAGCAGUGGGGAAUAUUGCACAAUGGGCGAAAGCCUGAUGCAGCGACGCCGCGUGAGGGAUGACGGCCUUCGGGUUGUAAACCUCUUUCGACAGGGACGAAGCGCAAGUGACGGUACCUGUAGAAGAAGCACCGGCCAACUACGUGCCAGCAGCCGCGGUAAUACGUAGGGUGCGAGCGUUGUCCGGAAUUACUGGGCGUAAAGAGCUUGUAGGCGGUCUGUCGCGUCGAUCGUGAAAACGUGCAGCUCAACUGCGCGCCUGCGGUCGAUACGGGCAGACUAGAGUACUUCAGGGGAGACUGGAAUUC